GACGAACGCUGGCGGCGUGCCUAACACAUGCAAGUCGAGCGGGGACAUUGCGACAGACAUGAAGUUUUCGGAUGGAUUGGAAGAUGUAAUGUUCUAGCGGCGGACGGGUGAGUAACGCGUGAGCAACCUGUCCCUUACAGGGGGAUAACACAGCGAAAGUUGUACUAAUACCGCAUAAGACCACAGGAUGACAUCGUCCAGGGGUCAAAGGAGUAAUCCGGUAAGGGGUGGGCUCGCGUCCGAUUAGAUAGUUGGUGAGGUAACGGCCCACCAAGUCGACGAUCGGUAGCCGACCUGAGAGGGUGAUCGGCCACAUUGGGACUGAGACACGGCCCAAACUCCUACGGGAGGCAGCAGUGGGGAAUAUUGGGCAAUGGGGGAAACCCUGACCCAGCAACGCCGCGUGAGGGAAGAAGGUUUUCGGAUCGUAAACCUCUGUCCUUGGUGAAGAGAAAGAGACGA
Molecule: ribosomal RNA, 462 nt
Filed under: bacterium MD4002
Lineage: Bacteria
Description: bacterial SSU rRNA
Rfam family: Bacterial small subunit ribosomal RNA
Source: RNAcentral